UACGAGGGGGGCGAGCGUUGCUCGGAAUCACUGGGCGUAAAGGGUGCGUAGGCGGGUCUUUAAGUCAGGGGUGAAAUCCUGGAGCUCAACUCCAGAACUGCCUUUGAUACUGAGGAUCUUGAGUUCGGGAGAGGUGAGUGGAACUGCGAGUGUAGAGGUGAAAUUCGUAGAUAUUCGCAAGAACACCAGUGGCGAAGGCGGCUCACUGGCCCGAUACUGACGCUGAGGCACGAAAGCGUGGGGAGCAAACAGG
Molecule: ribosomal RNA, 253 nt
Filed under: uncultured bacterium
Lineage: Bacteria
Description: partial 16S ribosomal RNA
Rfam family: Bacterial small subunit ribosomal RNA
Source: RNAcentral